Long non-coding RNA from Acanthochromis polyacanthus (spiny chromis), 4575 nucleotides. RefSeq lists it as uncharacterized. The transcript is spliced from 2 exons. Lineage: Eukaryota; Metazoa; Chordata; Actinopteri; Pomacentridae. The record is from RefSeq and is a predicted model, not a curated record.
UGUGACUAAAACGUCAUAGUUUAGUAUGUCGUCCAAAAUAUGACAAAAACGUCAUAGUUUAGUAUGUCGUCCGAAAUGUGACAAAAACGUCAUAGUUUAGUAUGUCGUCCAAAAUGUGACAAAAACGUCAGAGUUUAGUAUGUCGUCCAAAAUGUGGACUAAAACGUCAGAGUUUAGUGUUUCGUCCGAAAUGUGAAAAAAACGUCAUAGUUUAGUAUGUCGUCCAAAAUGUGACUAAAACGUCAUAGUUUAGUAUGUCGUCCGAAAUGUGACUAAAACGUCAUAGUUUAGUAUGUCGUCCAAAAUGUGACUAAAACGUCAUAGUUUAGUAUGUCGUCCAAAAUAUGACAAAAACGUCAUCGUUUAGUAUGUCGUCCGAAAUGUGACUAAAACGUCAUAGUUUAGUAUGUCGUCCAAAAUAUGACAAAAACGUCAUAGUUUAGUAUGUCGUCCAAAAUGUGACUAAAACGUCAUAGUUUAGUAUGUCGUCCAAAAUAUGACAAAAACGUCAUCGUUUAGUAUGUCGUCCAAAAUGUGACUAAAACGUCAUAGUUUAGUAUGUCGUCCAAAAUAUGACAAAAACGUCAUCGUUUAGUAUGUCGUCCAAAAUGUGACUAAAACGUCAUCGUUUAGUCUGUCUUCCAAAAUGUGACAAAAACGUCAGAGUUUAGUGUUUCGUCCGAAAUGUGAAAAAAACGUCAUAGUUUAGUAUGUCGUCCAAAAUGUGACUAAAACGUCAUAGUUUAGUAUGUCGUCCGAAAUGUGACUAAAACGUCAUAGUUUAGUAUGUCGUCCAAAAUGUGACUAAAACGUCAUAGUUUAGUAUGUCGUCCAAAAUAUGACAAAAACGUCAUAGUUUAGUAUGUCGUCCGAAAUGUGACAAAAACGUCAUAGUUUAGUAUGUCGUCCAAAAUGUGACAAAAACGUCAGAGUUUAGUAUGUCGUCCAAAAUGUGGACUAAAACGUCAUAGGUUAGUAUGUCGUCCAAAAUGUGACUAAAACGUCAUCGUUUAGUAUGUCGUCCAAAAUGUGACUAAAACGUCAUAGUUUAGUAUGUCGUCCAAAAUGUGACUAAAACGUCAUAGUUUAGUAUGUCGUCCGAAAUGUGACAAAAACGUCAUCGUUUAGUAUGUCGUCCAAAAUGUGACUAAAACGUCAUCGUUUAGUCUGUCUUCCAAAAUGUGACAAAAACGUCAGAGUUUAGUGUUUCGUCCGAAAUGUGAAAAAAACGUCAUAGUUUAGUAUGUCGUCCAAAAUGUGACUAAAACGUCAUAGUUUAGUAUGUCGUCCGAAAUGUGACUAAAACGUCAUAGUUUAGUAUGUCGUCCAAAAUAUGACAAAAACGUCAUCGUUUAGUAUGUCGUCCAAAAUAUGACAAAAACGUCAUAGUUUAGUAUGUCGUCCAAAAUGUGACUAAAACGUCAUAGUUUAGUAUGUCGUCCAAAAUAUGACAAAAACGUCAUCGUUUAGUAUGUCGUCCAAAAUGUGACUAAAACGUCAUAGUUUAGUAUGUCGUCCGAAAUGUGACAAAAACGUCAUAGUUUAGUAUGUCGUCCAAAAUGUGACAAAAACGUCAGAGUUUAGUAUGUCGUCCAAAAUGUGGACUAAAACGUCAUAGGUUAGUAUGUCGUCCAAAAUGUGACUAAAACGUCAUCGUUUAGUAUGUCGUCCAAAAUGUGACUAAAACGUCAUCGUUUAGUCUGUCUUCCAAAAUGUGACAAAAACGUCAUAGUUUAGUAUGUCGUCCGAAAUAUGACAAAAACGUCAUAGUUUAGUAUGUCGUCAGAAAUGUGACUAAAAUGUCAUAGUUUAGUGUUUCGUCCAAAAUGUGACUAAAACGUCAUCGUUUAGUAUGUCGUCCAAAAUGUGGACAAAAACGUCAUAGUUUAGUAUGUCGUCCGAGAUGUGACAAAAACGUCAUAGUUUCGUAUGUCGUCCGAAAUGUGACAAAAACGUCAUCGUUUAGUCUGUCUUCCAAAAUGUGACAAAAACGUCAGAGUUUAGUGUUUCGUACGAAAUUGAAAAAAACGUCAUAGUUUAGUAUGUCGUCCAAAAUGUGACUAAAACGUCAUAGUUUAGUAUGUCGUCCAAAAUAUGACAAAAACGUCAUAGUUUAGUAUGUCGUCCGAAAUGUGACAAAAACGUCAUAGUUUAGUAUGUCUUCCAAAAUGUGACAAAAACGUCAUAGUUUAGUAUGUCGUCCGAAAUAUGACAAAAACGUCAUAGUUUAGUAUGUCGUCAGAAAUGUGACUAAAACGUCAUAGUUUAGUGUUUCGUCCGAAAUGUGACUAAAACGUCGUAUGUCGUCCAAAAUGUGACAAAAACGUCAUAGUUUAGUAUGUCGUCCGAAAUGUGACUAAAACGUCAGAGUUUAGUAUGUCGUCCGAAAUGUGACUAAAACGUCAUAGUUUAGUAUGUCGUCCAAAAUGUGACAAAAACGUCAGAGUUUAGUGUUUCGUCCGAAAUGUGACUAAAACGUCAUAAUUUCGUUUGUCGUCCAAAAUGUGUCAAAAAUGACAUAGUUUAGUAUGUUGUCCAAAAUAUGGGAAAAAAAAAUCAUAGUUUAGUAUGUCGUCCAAAAUAUGGAAAAAAAAUGUCAUAGUUUAGUAUGUCGUCCAAAAUAUGGAAAAAAAAAGUCAUAGUUUAGUAUGUCGUCCAAAAUAUGGAAAAAAAAUGUCAUAGUUUAGUAUGUCGUCCAAAAUAUGGAAAAAAAAUGUCAUAGUUUAGUAUGUCGUCCAAAAUAUGGAAAAAAAAUGUCAUAGUUUAGUAUGUCGUCCAAAAUGUGACUAAAACGUCAUAGUUUAGUAUGUCGUCCAAAAUGUGACUAAAACGUCAUAGUUUAGUAUGUCGUCCAAAAUGUGACUAAAACGUCAUAGUUUAGUAUGUCGUCCAAAAUAUGACAAAAACGUCAUAGUUUAGUAUGUCGUCCGAAAUGUGACAAAAACGUCAUAGUUUAGUAUGUCUUCCAAAAUGUGACAAAAACGUCAUAGUUUAGUAUGUCGUCCGAAAUAUGACAAAAACGUCAUAGUUUAGUAUGUCGUCAGAAAUGUGACUAAAACGUCAUAGUUUAGUGUUUCGUCCGAAAUGUGACUAAAACGUCGUAUGUCGUCCAAAAUGUGACAAAAACGUCAUAGUUUAGUAUGUCGUCCGAAAUGUGACUAAAACGUCAGAGUUUAGUAUGUCGUCCGAAAUGUGACUAAAACGUCAUAGUUUAGUAUGUCGUCCAAAAUGUGACAAAAACGUCAGAGUUUAGUGUUUCGUCCGAAAUGUGACUAAAACGUCAUAAUUUCGUUUGUCGUCCAAAAUGUGUCAAAAAUGACAUAGUUUAGUAUGUUGUCCAAAAUAUGGGAAAAAAAAAUCAUAGUUUAGUAUGUCGUCCAAAAUAUGGAAAAAAAAUGUCAUAGUUUAGUAUGUCGUCCAAAAUAUGGAAAAAAAAAAGUCAUAGUUUAGUAUGUCGUCCAAAAUAUGGAAAAAAAAUGUCAUAGUUUAGUAUGUCGUCCAAAAUAUGGAAAAAAAAUGUCAUAGUUUAGUAUGUCGUCCAAAAUAUGGAAAAAAAAUGUCAUAGUUUAGUAUGUCGUCCAAAAUGUGACUAAAACGUCAUAGUUUAGUAUGUCGUCCAAAAUGUGACUAAAACGUCAUAGUUUAGUAUGUCGUCCAAAAUGUGACUAAAACGUCAUAGUUUAGUAUGUCGUCCAAAAUGUGACUAAAACGUCAUAGUUUAGUAUGUCGUCCAAAAUGUGACAAAGUAGGCCGUGAAAAACACUAUAGAGCAGCUGCCCACAGAGUUGAAGAGUACCCAUAUUGCUGAACAGGUUAAGCAGGCAACUUGUGUACAGGAGCUGGUCUCCACCUCAGCGGCCUGUGUUGCGUGUCCUCCCCCGAUUCAUGUCUACUUUCACUGCCACCGUUGAAUAAAGCCGAAAAAAAUGUCAGAGUUUGGUAUGCCAUCCGAAAAUGGACAAGCAUAUUUUAAUAUGACAAAAAUCUGCCACUUUGCAGCCAGAAACUGAAAAAAAGAAGAAAACCACAUUAAUUUCAUCGAUCCAGUAGCUUUUAUUGUCCUCUCAUAUUAAUUUUGAACAAGUUUUGGGGCACUGCUUUUCAACAAUUCUGCAGGUAUUUAUGCCGUCACAGACAGUUUUUGAGUCAUAUUGGACAAGUUUUGAAGCAUUUUGAAUCCGUUUUUCAACAAUUCUGGAAAACCUCAUCAUUUUAAACCAUUUUUGAGUCAUUUUAUUCGAGUUCCAGUUUUCAAAAUUUGCCCGAAAUCGCCCAAAAAAUUACUUAAGAUGUCAAGAAAUUGUCCAAAAUGACAUGAAACUGAUCUAAAAUUACAAAGCAUUCUCCAAAAUUACUCGAACAUGGUCUAAGCUUCAGGACAAACCAGCUGGAGAAAUGUCUUCCAGAACCUCUGGCUGGUUUCUCCUGAAGCGCUGCGGUCUCCUCAUCCUGUAGAUGUUGAACUAUUUCCAUGCUGACUGAUAAACGGUGUUUUGUAGUUCAGAGCGUUAGAGGGCAGCAGACUCUUUAAUACAUCAGAUUACAAUAAAGACACAGAGAGAGAAAGCACUUUAA